CCCGGGCCUUGUACACACCGCCCGUCACACCAUGGGAGUUGGUUUUACCCGAAGACGGUGCGCUAACCGCAAGGAGGCAGCCGGCCACGGUAAGGUCAGCGACUGGGUG
RNAcentral lists this ribosomal RNA (109 nucleotides) under uncultured bacterium. RNAcentral describes it as "partial 16S ribosomal RNA". It matches the Rfam family "Bacterial small subunit ribosomal RNA", at positions 1373 to 1482 of the family's 1533-position model. The record is from RNAcentral.